AUUGAACGCUGGCGGAAUGCUUUACACAUGCAAGUCGAGCGGCAGCGCGGGGGCAACCCUGGCGGCGAGCGGCGAACGGGUGAGUAACAUAUCGGAACGUACCCCGUCGUGGGGGAUAACACAGCGAAAGCUGUGCUAAUACCGCAUACGACCUGAGGGUGAAAGCGGGGGAUCGCAAGACCUCGCGCGAUGGGAGCGGCCGAUAUCGGAUUAGCUUGUUGGUGAGGUAAAGGCUCACCAAGGCGACGAUCCGUAGCGGGUCUGAGAGGAUGAUCCGCCACACUGGGACUGAGACACGGCCCAGACUCCUACGGGAGGCAGCAGUGGGGAAUUUUGGACAAUGGGCGCAAGCCUGAUCCAGCAAUGCCGCGUGCAGGAAGAAGGGCCCUUCGGGUUGU
This 398-nucleotide ribosomal RNA is filed under the name uncultured bacterium. RNAcentral describes it as "bacterial SSU rRNA". It matches the Rfam family "Bacterial small subunit ribosomal RNA", at positions 29 to 426 of the family's 1533-position model. The record is from RNAcentral.